RNAcentral lists this ribosomal RNA (1075 nucleotides) under Bacillus stratosphericus. Its description in RNAcentral is "bacterial SSU rRNA". It matches the Rfam family "Bacterial small subunit ribosomal RNA", at positions 35 to 1102 of the family's 1533-position model. The record is from RNAcentral. Lineage: Bacteria; Bacillati; Bacillota; Bacilli; Caryophanales; Bacillaceae.
CCUGGGGGCGUGCUAAUACAUGCAAGUCGAGCGGACAGAAGGGAGCUUGCUCCCGGAUGUUAGCGGCGGACGGGUGAGUAACACGUGGGUAACCUGCCUGUAAGACUGGGAUAACUCCGGGAAACCGGAGCUAAUACCGGAUAGUUCCUUGAACCGCAUGGUUCAAGGAUGAAAGACGGUUUCGGCUGUCACUUACAGAUGGACCCGCGGCGCAUUAGCUAGUUGGUGAGGUAACGGCUCACCAAGGCGACGAUGCGUAGCCGACCUGAGAGGGUGAUCGGCCACACUGGGACUGAGACACGGCCCAGACUCCUACGGGAGGCAGCAGUAGGGAAUCUUCCGCAAUGGACGAAAGUCUGACGGAGCAACGCCGCGUGAGUGAUGAAGGUUUUCGGAUCGUAAAGCUCUGUUGUUAGGGAAGAACAAGUGCAAGAGUAACUGCUUGCACCUUGACGGUACCUAACCAGAAAGCCACGGCUAACUACGUGCCAGCAGCCGCGGUAAUACGUAGGUGGCAAGCGUUGUCCGGAAUUAUUGGGCGUAAAGGGCUCGCAGGCGGUUUCUUAAGUCUGAUGUGAAAGCCCCCGGCUCAACCGGGGAGGGUCAUUGGAAACUGGGAAACUUGAGUGCAGAAGAGGAGAGUGGAAUUCCACGUGUAGCGGUGAAAUGCGUAGAGAUGUGGAGGAACACCAGUGGCGAAGGCGACUCUCUGGUCUGUAACUGACGCUGAGGAGCGAAAGCGUGGGGAGCGAACAGGAUUAGAUACCCUGGUAGUCCACGCCGUAAACGAUGAGUGCUAAGUGUUAGGGGUUUCCGCCCCUUAGUGCUGCAGCUAACGCAUUAAGCACUCCGCCUGGGGAGUACGGUCGCAAGACUGAAACUCAAGGAAUUGACGGGGGCCCGCACAAGCGUGGAGCAUGUGGUUUAAUUCGAAGCAACGCGAGACCUUACAGUCUGACAUGCUCUGACACCCUAGAGAUAGGCUUUCCUUCGGGACAGAUGACAGUGUGCAUGCUGUCGUCAGCUCUGUCCUGGAGAAUGGUUGGGGGUUAAGUUCCCGCAACCCAGCCGCAAC